Caenorhabditis elegans is the source of this 21-nucleotide non-coding RNA. The record is from Ensembl. Lineage: Eukaryota; Metazoa; Nematoda; Chromadorea; Rhabditida; Rhabditidae.
UAGAUCAUAUAUAGGAAUGUU